Molecule: ribosomal RNA, 1272 nt
Filed under: Triticum aestivum (bread wheat)
Lineage: Eukaryota; Viridiplantae; Streptophyta; Magnoliopsida; Poales; Poaceae
Description: partial small subunit ribosomal RNA
Source: RNAcentral
AUGGCGGGAACGAUGAUGGCCGUGACGGCCAAGAGCAAGAACUGCACGCUGGCCUCGGAGAAGAAACACGGGUGGGCUAUCCCGCAGCUUCCGGAGCUCCGGUUCCCUUGGGAUAUGCAAGAAGACAACAAGGCCUUCUCGUUAAGCUUGCUGCAUGACUCUGCCUCCCCUCACGGCGGGCUGUUUGCUAGCGUUGGUCUCAAAGUGUCGACGCCUGCUCCGGCAGUGUCAACCAGCCCGGCGGAGCAGGAGUUCAAGAUCCCUUUUGCUGAUCACUGCAUAAAGUUUGUCUCGUCGGCAGUCGGGUUUCCAGUUGUUGGGGCCGUGGAUGGGUCUGUGGAGGAGGAGGUGGUGGUGGAUGGUAAGAUUAUUAGGAAGAAGGCCAAGAAGCGGGGGCUGAAACUGAAAAUUAAGAUUGGGAACCCGCAUUUGAGGCGGCUGGUUAGUGGAGCUAUUGCGGGGGCGGUCUCGAGGACUUGUGUGGCGCCGUUGGAGACAAUUAGGACACACCUGAUGGUUGGGAGCAAUGGGGAUUCAAUGACAGAAGUGUUUCAGACAAUUAUGAAGACAGAGGGGUGGACAGGGCUGUUCCGUGGGAAUUUUGUGAAUGUCAUCCGUGUUGCUCCAAGCAAGGCGAUUGAGCUAUUUGCUUUUGAUACAGCCAAAAAAUUCCUGACUCCAAAGGCUGAUGAAUCCUCUAAGACUCCCUUUCCUCCAUCACUUGUCGCGGGGGCACUUGCAGGUGUCAGCUCAACACUCUGCACAUAUCCUCUGGAACUGAUCAAGACCCGUCUGACUAUAGAGAAAGAUGUAUAUGACAACUUUCUCCAUUGCCUCGUCAAGAUUGUACGAGAGGAAGGCCCCUCGGAGCUUUACCGUGGUCUGACACCGAGUCUGAUAGGAGUGGUGCCAUACGCCGCGACCAACUACUAUGCCUACGACACCCUGAGGAAGCUCUACAGGAAGACAUUCAAGCAGGAGGAGAUCAGCAACAUUGCAACUCUCCUGAUCGGUUCGGCCGCGGGCGCCAUCUCGAGCACCGCCACCUUCCCUCUCGAAGUAGCUCGCAAGCAGAUGCAGGCUGGGGCGGUGGGCGGUAGGCAGGUCUACAAGAACGUGUUCCAUGCUCUCUACUGCAUAAUGGAGAAGGAAGGGAUCGGCGGCCUGUACAAGGGGCUUGGGCCUAGCUGCAUCAAGCUCAUGCCCGCGGCGGGGAUCUCGUUCAUGUGCUACGAGGCCUGCAAGAAGAUACUGGUCGAAGCCGAGGAGUAG